This 2172-nucleotide ribosomal RNA is filed under the name Staphylococcus aureus. Its description in RNAcentral is "partial 23S ribosomal RNA". It matches the Rfam family "Bacterial large subunit ribosomal RNA", at positions 12 to 2182 of the family's 2925-position model. Lineage: Bacteria; Bacillati; Bacillota; Bacilli; Caryophanales; Staphylococcaceae. The record is from RNAcentral.
UAAGGGCGCACGGUGGAUGCCUUGGCACUAGAAGCCGAUGAAGGACGUUACUAACGACGAUAUGCUUUGGGGAGCUGUAAGUAAGCUUUGAUCCAGAGAUUUCCGAAUGGGGAAACCCAGCAUGAGUUAUGUCAUGUUAUCGAUAUGUGAAUACAUAGCAUAUCAGAAGGCACACCCGGAGAACUGAAACAUCUUAGUACCCGGAGGAAGAGAAAGAAAAUUCGAUUCCCUUAGUAGCGGCGAGCGAAACGGGAAGAGCCCAAACCAACAAGCUUGCUUGUUGGGGUUGUAGGACACUCUAUACGGAGUUACAAAGGACGACAUUAGACGAAUCAUCUGGAAAGAUGAAUCAAAGAAGGUAAUAAUCCUGUAGUCGAAAAUGUUGUCUCUCUUGAGUGGAUCCUGAGUACGACGGAGCACGUGAAAUUCCGUCGGAAUCUGGGAGGACCAUCUCCUAAGGCUAAAUACUCUCUAGUGACCGAUAGUGAACCAGUACCGUGAGGGAAAGGUGAAAAGCACCCCGGAAGGGGAGUGAAAUAGAACCUGAAACCGUGUGCUUACAAGUAGUCAGAGCCCGUUAAUGGGUGAUGGCGUGCCUUUUGUAGAAUGAACCGGCGAGUUACGAUUUGAUGCAAGGUUAAGCAGUAAAUGUGGAGCCGUAGCGAAAGCGAGUCUGAAUAGGGCGUUUAGUAUUUGGUCGUAGACCCGAAACCAGGUGAUCUACCCUUGGUCAGGUUGAAGUUCAGGUAACACUGAAUGGAGGACCGAACCGACUUACGUUGAAAAGUGAGCGGAUGAACUGAGGGUAGCGGAGAAAUUCCAAUCGAACCUGGAGAUAGCUGGUUCUCUCCGAAAUAGCUUUAGGGCUAGCCUCAAGUGAUGAUUAUUGGAGGUAGAGCACUGUUUGGACGAGGGGCCCCUCUCGGGUUACCGAAUUCAGACAAACUCCGAAUGCCAAUUAAUUUAACUUGGGAGUCAGAACAUGGGUGAUAAGGUCCGUGUUCGAAAGGGAAACAGCCCAGACCACCAGCUAAGGUCCCAAAAUAUAUGUUAAGUGGAAAAGGAUGUGGCGUUGCCCAGACAACUAGGAUGUUGGCUUAGAAGCAGCCAUCAUUUAAAGAGUGCGUAAUAGCUCACUAGUCGAGUGACACUGCGCCGAAAAUGUACCGGGGCUAAACAUAUUACCGAAGCUGUGGAUUGUCCUUUGGACAAUGGUAGGAGAGCGUUCUAAGGGCGUUGAAGCAUGAUCGUAAGGACAUGUGGAGCGCUUAGAAGUGAGAAUGCCGGUGUGAGUAGCGAAAGACGGGUGAGAAUCCCGUCCACCGAUUGACUAAGGUUUCCAGAGGAAGGCUCGUCCGCUCUGGGUUAGUCGGGUCCUAAGCUGAGGCCGACAGGCGUAGGCGAUGGAUAACAGGUUGAUAUUCCUGUACCACCUAUAAUCGUUUUAAUCGAUGGGGGGACGCAGUAGGAUAGGCGAAGCGUGCGAUUGGAUUGCACGUCUAAGCAGUAAGGCUGAGUAUUAGGCAAAUCCGGUACUCAUUAAGGCUGAGCUGUGAUGGGGAGAAGACAUUGUGUCUUCGAGUCGUUGAUUUCACACUGCCGAGAAAAGCCUCUAGAUAGAAAAUAGGUGCCCGUACCGCAAACCGACACAGGUAGUCAAGAUGAGAAUUCUAAGGUGAGCGAGCGAACUCUCGUUAAGGAACUCGGCAAAAUGACCCCGUAACUUCGGGAGAAGGGGUGCUCUUUAGGGUUAACGCCCAGAAGAGCCGCAGUGAAUAGGCCCAAGCGACUGUUUAUCAAAAACACAGGUCUCUGCUAAACCGUAAGGUGAUGUAUAGGGGCUGACGCCUGCCCGGUGCUGGAAGGUUAAGAGGAGUGGUUAGCUUCUGCGAAGCUACGAAUCGAAGCCCCAGUAAACGGCGGCCGUAACUAUAACGGUCCUAAGGUAGCGAAAUUCCUUGUCGGGUAAGUUCCGACCCGCACGAAAGGCGUAACGAUUUGGGCACUGUCUCAACGAGAGGCUCGGUGAAAUCAUAGUACCUGUGAAGAUGCAGGUUACCCGCGACAGGACGGAAAGACCCCGUGGAGCUUUACUGUAGCCUGAUAUUGAAAUUCGGCACAGCUUGUACAGGAUAGGUAGGAGCCUUUGAAACGUGAGCGCUAGCUUACGUG